RNAcentral lists this ribosomal RNA (426 nucleotides) under Chelidonura livida. RNAcentral's name for it is "partial 16S ribosomal RNA". It matches the Rfam family "Archaeal large subunit ribosomal RNA", at positions 1905 to 2677 of the family's 2987-position model. The record is from RNAcentral. Lineage: Eukaryota; Metazoa; Mollusca; Gastropoda; Cephalaspidea; Aglajidae.
ACAUAGCCCUAUGAAAUGAUCUAGGGUGAUACCUGCUCAAUGAACGAUUUUUAAUAGCCGCGGUACCUUGACCGUGCUAAGGUAGCAUAAUCAGUUGACUUUUAAAUGAAGUCUGGAAUGAAUGGAUAAACGGGAUUAAGCUGUCUCAAUCUUUUUAUUACGAAUUUACUAAUAGGGUGAAAAGGCCCUAAUAAGAUAAAAGACGAGAAGACCCUUAGAGUUUUUUAAAGAUUUUGUUGGGGCGACAAGGAGUGAUGUAACACUCCUGGAAUAAAUAUGACGGAUUUUUCAUGAACAGAUAAACUACCUGAGGGAUAACAGCAUUAUCUUUUUAGGUUUGUGACCUCGAUGUUGGACUAGGAAGCCUAUAGGCUAGCCGCUUAUAAGGGGGGUUCUGUUCGAACUUUUUUCUCCUACGUGAUCUGA